GGGGGCUCUUCCUCGCUCCCAGGUGCUUCUUCAGUUUGUUCUUCACCUUCAGAUUGGGCUCCGACGCUGAAACGAGAUGAUGCUGUCAGCUGAGGCCAGGUUAGAAUGAGCGGCCAGGGAGUGUGUCCAAACGGCAGCUGCUGCAGUUCCUUUUGCUGCUCCUGCUCCUGUUCCCGGCGUCGCUGCUCCAUGUUAAACUGCAGAAGAGGGGGGAGGAAAAUCAGAAUCGGGAUCUCCUGCAGUCGGAUCCCUUGCAGCAGUUAACACGAUGCAGACUUCCUUCAGGAGGGUUAACUGGCGCUGGUCCAAAAAUGAGAGAGAGAGAGAGACAAUAAGAGGAGAGAGAAAGAAAGUGAUGUCGAAGCCCAGCAGUCAAACUCUUUUUAAGCCACAAGCCGCCUUUUCACAGUUUAAAAAAAAAAAAAAAAAACCACGCUGCUAAAUUUAGAGUUGUGUGUUUUUUUUUGUUUGUUUUUUUUUAACCAAGGUUACGGUAGAGGAGAAAAGGAAAUUUGAAUUGCUGCAUUCGAAUGCAACGAGGUGUGCCGGAUUAAAGGGAGAGCUGCCAGACCAGAACAGAGCUGGACUCCACAACGAAACAGGAACCUUUGGGAAUUUGACCUUGUCUGUCUAACGGUAAAAUAAAAAAACAACUGGUAAUUUAA
Acipenser ruthenus (sterlet) is the source of this 665-nucleotide long non-coding RNA. RefSeq lists it as uncharacterized. The record is from RefSeq and is a predicted model, not a curated record. The transcript has 3 exons. Lineage: Eukaryota; Metazoa; Chordata; Actinopteri; Acipenseriformes; Acipenseridae.